AGAUUUUACUUCAUUCACUGCAGUAUUGGAGCAGGUGAUCCUCUUGCAGUGACCACAAGCCACUGCACAACAGUCUGUUCCUAAGACAGGAGCAAGUGUUUCUGUCACAGCUGCUUUGACAGCUGCAUUUUACGAGCUUCAACAAGUAUGGUGGUGCAGGAUCCAUUUGCAUCUUCAAUGGCUUCAGCCUCUCAGCAUUCUGGCCAUUGUGGAGCAGCCA
Thalassophryne amazonica is the source of this 220-nucleotide long non-coding RNA. RefSeq lists it as uncharacterized. Lineage: Eukaryota; Metazoa; Chordata; Actinopteri; Batrachoidiformes; Batrachoididae. The transcript is spliced from 3 exons. The record is from RefSeq and is a predicted model, not a curated record.